CCUACGGGGGGCAGCAGUGGGGAAUAUUGGACAAUGGGGGGAACCCUGAUCCAGCCAUGCCGCGUGUGUGAAGAAGGCCCUCGGGUUGUAAAGCACUUUCAGUGAGGAAGAACGCCUGGUGGUUAAUACCCAUCAGGAAAGACAUCACUCACAGAAGAAGCACCGGCUAACUCCGUGCCAGCAGCCGCGGUAAUACGGAGGGUGCGAGCGUUAAUCGGAAUUACUGGGCGUAAAGCGCGCGUAGGUGGCUUGAUAAGCCGGUUGUGAAAGCCCCGGGCUCAACCUGGGAACGGCAUCCGGGACUGUGAGGCGAGAUGGCAGGAGAGGAAGGGAGAAUCCCCGGUGUAGCGGUGAAAUGCGUAGAGACAGGGAGGAAUAGCAGUGGCGAAGGGGGGCUUCUGGACUGACACUGACACUGGGGUGCGAAAGCGUGGGUAGCAAACCGGCUCAGAGACCCCUGUAGUC
This 465-nucleotide ribosomal RNA is filed under the name Vreelandella stevensii. RNAcentral describes it as "partial 16S ribosomal RNA". It matches the Rfam family "Bacterial small subunit ribosomal RNA", at positions 338 to 795 of the family's 1533-position model. The record is from RNAcentral. Lineage: Bacteria; Pseudomonadati; Pseudomonadota; Gammaproteobacteria; Oceanospirillales; Halomonadaceae.